Molecule: ribosomal RNA, 1043 nt
Filed under: Natrinema pallidum
Lineage: Archaea; Methanobacteriati; Methanobacteriota; Halobacteria; Halobacteriales; Natrialbaceae
Description: bacterial SSU rRNA
Rfam family: Archaeal small subunit ribosomal RNA
Source: RNAcentral
AUGCUAGUUGCACGAGUUCAGACUCGUAGCAGAUAGCUCAGUAACACGUGGCCAAACUACCCUAUGGAUCCGAAUAACCUCGGGAAACUGAGGCUAAUAUGGAAUAGCGUUCAUCGCCUGGAGUGGCACGAACGCGAAACGUUACGGCGCCAUAGGAUGUGGCUGCGGCCGAUUAGGUAGACGGUGGGGUAACGGCCCACCGUGCCCAUAAUCGGUACGGGUUGUGAGAGCAAGAGCCCGGAGACGGUAUCUGAGACAAGAUACCGGGCCCUACGGGGCGCAGCAGGCGCGAAACCUUUACACUGCACGCGAGUGCGAUAAGGGGACUCCGAGUGCGAGGGCAUAUAGUCCUCGCUUUUCACGACCGUAAGGUGGUCGUAGAAUAAGUGCUGGGCAAGACCGGUGCCAGCCGCCGCGGUAAUACCGGCAGCACGAGUGAUGACCGCUAUUAUUGGGCCUAAAGCGUCCGUAGCUGGCCACGCAAGUCUAUCGGGAAAUCCGCGCGCUUAACGCGCGGGCGUCCGGUGGAAACUGCGUGGCUUGGGACCGGAAGACCAGAGGGGUACGUCCGGGGUAGGAGUGAAAUCCCGUAAUCCUGGACGGACCACCGGUGGCGAAAGCGCCUCUGGAAGACGGAUCCGACGGUGAGGGACGAAAGCUCGGGUCACGAACCGGAUUAGAUACCCGGGUAGUCCGAGCUGUAAACGAUGUCUGCUAGGUGUGGCACAGGCUACGAGCCUGUGCUGUGCCGUAGGGAAGCCGUGAAGCAGACCGCCUGGGAAGUACGUCCGCAAGGAUGAAACUUAAAGGAAUUGGCGGGGGAGCACUACAACCGGAGGAGCCUGCGGUUUAAUUGGACUCAACGCCGGACAUCUCACCAGCAUCGACAAUGUGCAGUGAACGUCAGGUUGAUGACCUUACUGGAGCCAUUGAGAGGAGGUGCAUGGCCGCCGUCAGCUCGUACCGUGAGGCGUCCUGUUAAGUCAGGCAACGAGCGAGACCCGCACUCCUAAUUGCCAGCAACACCCUCGUGGUGGUUGGGU